This 675-nucleotide long non-coding RNA is filed under the name Rhinopithecus bieti (black snub-nosed monkey). RNAcentral describes it as "lncRNA (ENSRBIG00000046061.1)". The record is from RNAcentral. Lineage: Eukaryota; Metazoa; Chordata; Mammalia; Primates; Cercopithecidae.
CGGUGGUAGUAUCAUGUUUGUAUGCUAUCAUUUUUUCCAAGUAUUUAAGUAUUUUAAGAUGUUAUCUCUUUAGUUUUCACAGCGUGCUAGGAAGGAGGAAGGACAUGUUGUUCUCACCUAGCAGUAAAAUUGAGCUGGAAGAUAUACGAUCUUGUUACACAAAACAACCACUUCAUCUCUACAGAACCUUAUUAUUGGAAUAUAUGAUUAACGUGAACCUGCAAGCUGCCCUGAACAGAGUCAGUAGGAAGCCCAGUGGCACCCAGGCGAGGUUUCCACGUUGGAUUCACAUAGGUCACAAAAAAAUGCGCUACUAUCACCACCACACCUGGCUAUUUGGGCCAUCAGAAGCCUCUUUUUCUCAGGAAGGAAGGCCUGUGGCUUACGUUCCAUGGAGAUCAGGGAGUGAUUCUCCUGCCUUUGUAGCUUCUGCCUUGUUACAUUGGAAGUUUUGAAUAGAAACUUCAUCUGUGGGAGGGUGGUUACAGAAAGCAAGUUUAAAGUGAUUAAAUGUUUCAACAAGAGUGUUUUGAUUAUAAGAUCUGAAAAACUGAGUAAGUAACUAGAAUUCACUGCUUAGAAGAGACAGAAUAGAAUCGAACUGUUACCAAUAAAAGAUUGGGUCGUCUUGUUUUUUUGUUUGUUUUGUUUUUUGAGAUGGGGUCUUGCUCUGGC